GACGAACGCUGGCGGCGUGCUUAACACAUGCAAGUCGAACGGAAAGGCUCCAGCUUGCUGGAGUCCUCGAGUGGCGAACGGGUGAGUAACACGUGGGUAACCUGCCCUGCACUCUGGGAUAAGCCUGGGAAACUGGGUCUAAUACUGGAUAUGACCUUUCUCCUUAUGGGGUUUGGUGGAAAGUUUUUCGGUGUAGGAUGAGCCCGCGGCCUAUCAGCUUGUUGGUGGGGUGAUGGCCUACCAAGGCGACGACGGGUAGCCGGCCUGAGAGGGUGAUCGGCCACAUUGGGACUGAGAUACGGCCCAGACUCCUACGGGAGGCAGCAGUGGGGAAUAUUGCACAAUGGGCGGAAGCCUGAUGCAGCGACGCCGCGUGAGGGAUGACGGCCUUCGGGUUGUAAACCUCUUUCAGCAGGGACGAAGCGUAAGUGACGGUACCUGCAGAAGAAGCACCGGCUAACUAUGUG
Molecule: ribosomal RNA, 467 nt
Filed under: uncultured bacterium
Lineage: Bacteria
Description: partial 16S ribosomal RNA
Rfam family: Bacterial small subunit ribosomal RNA
Source: RNAcentral